Molecule: ribosomal RNA, 448 nt
Filed under: Euglena gymnodinioides
Lineage: Eukaryota; Euglenozoa; Euglenophyceae; Euglenales; Euglenaceae
Description: bacterial SSU rRNA
Rfam family: Bacterial small subunit ribosomal RNA
Source: RNAcentral
UGAACGCUGGCGGCAUGCUUAACACAUGCAAGUCAAACGGUUUUAUUAGAAAUAGUAAAUACAGUGACGGACGGGUGAGUAAUAUUUAAGAAUCUACGCUUAGAUGGGGGAUAACGAUUGGAAACGAUUGCUAAUACCCCGUAAUACUGUUAAAGUUAAAGUUUUUCGUCUAAGCACGAGCUUGCAUCUGAUUAGCUUGUUGGUGAGGUAAUGGCUUACCAAGGCUAUGAUCAGUAGCUGAUUUGAGAAGAUGGUCAGCCACACUGGGAUUGAGAACGGAACAGACUUCUACGGAAGGCAGCAGUGAGGAAUUUUCCGCAAUGGGUGAAAGCCUGACGGAGCAAUGCCGCGUGGAGGAAGAAUGCCUUAGGGUUGUAAACUCCUUUUCUCAUUGAAGAAGUUCUGACGGUAUUUGAGGAAUAAGCAUCGGCUAACUUUGUGCCAGCAG